RNAcentral lists this ribosomal RNA (253 nucleotides) under uncultured bacterium. Its description in RNAcentral is "partial 16S ribosomal RNA". It matches the Rfam family "Bacterial small subunit ribosomal RNA", at positions 524 to 776 of the family's 1533-position model. The record is from RNAcentral.
UACGGGGGGGGCAAGCGUUGUUCGGAAUUACUGGGCGUAAAGGGCCCGUAGGCGGCCAACUAAGUCGGAUGUGAAAUCCCCAGGCUCAACCUGGGAACUGCAUCCGAUACUGGAUGGCUUGAAUUCGGGAGAGGGAUGCAGAAUUCCAGGUGUAGCGGUGAAAUGCGUAGAUAUCUGGAGGAAUACCGGUGGCGAAGGCGGCAUCCUGGACCGACAUUGACGCUGAGGAGCGAAAGCCAGGGGAGCAAACGGG